Aquila chrysaetos chrysaetos is the source of this 415-nucleotide long non-coding RNA. RefSeq lists it as uncharacterized. The record is from RefSeq and is a predicted model, not a curated record. The transcript has 3 exons. Lineage: Eukaryota; Metazoa; Chordata; Aves; Accipitriformes; Accipitridae.
UCCUAUAAUUUCAGAUGCGCCAUUCCCUUUUGUCAUCUGAUUCUGUUCUGCCAAUUUCUGGGGAGAUGGGCUGAGAAGCCAUUCAGCAGACUAUGCAAAAUGAGCCAAGAUAUUGCUUUGUCUUCAGAGAUCAUUCUUUUAUUCCUUUCUAUCACUAAGGACACUCCUUCGUGCUGAGCCCUGAUGGGCCUUGCUAUCCACUUUUUGGAUGCUUUUCAUCAGGGAUGCCUCAACAGCACCACUAAUGCCUCCUUGUGAAUGCCUACAAUGAGGCAGACAGGUGCUACUACUACAGCAAUUGCAAUUAAAGGAACAAUUGACCUUCUUUUGUCCUCGAAGGAGACUUGUAGUCCUCUGGUGUAAUGCAGCUGGGUGCAGCAAACAAAAUCUUGUAAACCAUUUGUCUAAGGAAAAU